This 72-nucleotide transfer RNA is filed under the name Bos taurus (domestic cattle). It matches the Rfam family "tRNA". From Rfam's summary of the family: Transfer RNA (tRNA) molecules are approximately 80 nucleotides in length. RNAcentral also lists the same sequence under 4 other names. The record is from Rfam by way of RNAcentral. Lineage: Eukaryota; Metazoa; Chordata; Mammalia; Artiodactyla; Bovidae.
UUCCUGGUGGUCCAAUAGCUAGGACUCCACACUCCCAAUGCAGGGACACAGGUUCAAUCCCUGGUCAGGGAA